This 495-nucleotide ribosomal RNA is filed under the name uncultured bacterium. RNAcentral describes it as "partial 16S ribosomal RNA". It matches the Rfam family "Bacterial small subunit ribosomal RNA", at positions 28 to 507 of the family's 1533-position model. The record is from RNAcentral.
GACGAACGCUGGCGGCGUGCCUAAUACAUGCAAGUAGAACGCUGAAGGAGGAGCUUGCUUCUCUGGAUGAGUUGCGAACGGGUGAGUAACGCGUAGGUAACCUGCCUGGUAGCGGGGGAUAACUAUUGGAAACGAUAGCUAAUACCGCAUAAUAGUAGAUGUUGCAUGACAUUUGCUUAAAAGGUGCAAUUGCAUCACUACCAGAUGGACCUGCGUUGUAUUAGCUAGUUGGUGGGGUAACGGCUCACCAAGGCGACGAUACAUAGCCGACCUGGGAGGGUGAUCGGCCACACUGGGACUGAGACACGGCCCAGACUCCUACGGGAGGCAGCAGUAGGGAAUCUUCGGCAAUGGACGGAAGUCUGACCGAGCAACGCCGCGUGAGUGAAGAAGGGUUUCGGAUCGUAAAGCUCUGUUGUAAGAGAAGAACGAGUGUGAGAGUGGAAAGUUCACACUGUGACGGUAUCUUACCAGAAAGGGACGGCUAACUACGUG